GGGUCCGUAGCUCAACUGAAUAGAGUACCACACUACGGAUGUGGGGGUUGUGGGUUUGAAUCCCGCCGGAAUCA
RNAcentral lists this transfer RNA (74 nucleotides) under Paludibacteraceae bacterium. RNAcentral's name for it is "tRNA-Arg". It matches the Rfam family "tRNA". Rfam says of the family: Transfer RNA (tRNA) molecules are approximately 80 nucleotides in length. The record is from RNAcentral. Lineage: Bacteria; Pseudomonadati; Bacteroidota; Bacteroidia; Bacteroidales; Paludibacteraceae.